GUGGCGGACGGGUGAGUAACGCGUGAGAAUCUGCCCUCAGGAGGGGGAUAACGGCUGGAAACGGCCGCUAAUACCCCAUAUGCCGCGAGGUGAAACGAAUUUCGCCUGAGGAUGAGCUCGCGUCUGAUUAGCUAGUUGGUGGGGUAAAGGCCUACCAAGGCAUCGAUCAGUAGCUGGUCUGAGAGGAUGAUCAGCCACACUGGGACUGAGACACGGCCCAGACUCCUACGGGAGGCAGCAGUGGGGAAUUUUCCGCAAUGGGCGAAAGCCUGACGGAGCAACGCCGCGUGAGGGAUGAAGGCCUCUGGGCUGUAAACCUCUUUUAUCAAGGAAGAAGAUCUGACGGUACUUGAUGAAUAAGCCACGGCUAAUUCCGUGCCAGCAGCCGCGGUAAUACGGGAGUGGCAAGCGUUAUCCGGAAUUAUUGGGCGUAAAGCGUCCGCAGGCGGUCUUGUAAGUCUGUCGUCAAAGCGUGGAGCUUAACUCCAUUUAAGCGAUGGAAACUGCAAGACUAGAGUGUGGUAGGGGCAGAGGGAAUUCCCGGUGUAGCGGUUAAAUGCGUAGAUAUCGGGAAGAACACCAGUGGCGAAGGCGCUCUGCUGGGCCAUAACUGACGCUCAUGGACGAAAGCCAGGGGAGCGAAAGGGAUUAGAUACCCCUGUAGUCCUG
RNAcentral lists this ribosomal RNA (669 nucleotides) under uncultured Chroococcales cyanobacterium. Its description in RNAcentral is "bacterial SSU rRNA". It matches the Rfam family "Bacterial small subunit ribosomal RNA", at positions 95 to 798 of the family's 1533-position model. The record is from RNAcentral. Lineage: Bacteria; Bacillati; Cyanobacteriota; Cyanophyceae; Chroococcales.